CAGCCGCCGCGGGAAAACGUAGGUGGCAAGCGUUGUCCGGAAUUAUUGGGCGUAAAGGGCUCGCAGGCGGUUUCUUAAGUCUGAUGUGAAAGCCCCCGACUCAACCGGGGAGGGUCAUUGGAAACUGGGAAACUUGAGUGCAGAAGAGGAGAGUGGAAUUCCACGUGUAGCGGUGAAAUGCGUAGAGAUGUGGAGGAACACCAGUGGCGAAGGCGACUCUCUGGUCUGUAACUGACGCUGAGGAGCGAAAGCGUGGGGAGCGAACAGGAUUAGAUACCCCUGUAGUCCCUGUCUCUUAUAC
This 301-nucleotide ribosomal RNA is filed under the name uncultured bacterium. RNAcentral's name for it is "partial 16S ribosomal RNA". It matches the Rfam family "Bacterial small subunit ribosomal RNA", at positions 509 to 807 of the family's 1533-position model. The record is from RNAcentral.